This is a long non-coding RNA of Paramormyrops kingsleyae, 1140 nucleotides long. RefSeq lists it as uncharacterized. Lineage: Eukaryota; Metazoa; Chordata; Actinopteri; Osteoglossiformes; Mormyridae. The record is from RefSeq and is a predicted model, not a curated record.
GGUUAGCAGGCAUCUGUUUCUGCUUUGUUUUCGGCCAGCACUGAUCGCGGGCUUGUUCGCCACUCAAAUCAUACUUAAUCUAAAAAGGACUUUAUUUGACCACCUCUGUGAGAGUUUAAGGAAAUGGACUGCAGCUGUUGGGCCAUAUUUCAGAGAAGUGCUCUGAGGUUAGCAUCAUAAACAGGGAAGAUGAAACCCAGAUGUGUGCCAGCUGAAGAUGCAUAACGAUCCGUUAGCUGCAGCCACGGCCACCAUCAUCACCUCCACGCAGAUGGAGGGCUGCUUGUCCCAGUGGCCGGCCCAAUGGCGCGAGCUUCUAAAGGGAGAGUGGACGGUUUGACAAGUUUGUGUGCAGGGACCCCAUUGCGCAGCACCGCUGCUUAAUCCCCAGGUGAGCUGCUGUCCCUGUUAGAUGUUCCUUGUCUCAAUUUCCCAAAGACAAAGUGCAGUUCUUUGGCCAACCCACAGCCCUAUUUCCUAUGUUAAAAAAGCACCCAGUUAAUCCAGACAAAAUGCAGCUGUCCCCCCCCCCCCCCACACACACACACACUCACACACACACACAUACACACCCCUGCAAGGCAGGAUCUCGCUGUGGCUACACCAGUGUAGAUUUCCUCUGGAUAUUUUUAAGUGCACCUUUAAUUUAACCUUGUUUUCACAUUCCAGGUUUUAAAGUUCUUUUAACAGGGACUAAUCACUGUGACUGUUGUAAUACUAUCAUAAAAUUGAUGAUGUUGCGUGAUCCAGAGAGUCUGGAAUGUGUGUUUUUUAGGGAGCUCAUACUAAGAUGGAGAUUUAGUUGUGUGAUUUAUGCAGAUGAGUGACCCUAUUUCACAGAGCCUAAAGAAAUUAAAUGCUUUCACUCUCCCUCUACCUGACAAAUGGAGGUGUCCCCAUCCCAGGUGCAGCCUGUUUCCCGGCACGCAGGCUGAAUGAUCACUGCGAGCGGCCUCACAUGAGCCGUCCCGCUGACUAAUCACACAGCCAUCCGUCAUUCAAACAAACCAUUCCAGCCCAACCCCAAAAGGUCACGCUGUGUAAUCGCGGCCCACGCGGCCCGCACACUAUUCACUCAGCCUUAAUGAUGCCGGCGUGGGAUUCGUCUCCGUUUACCUCACGCGGGUGAACUAUUCCGGC